This 381-nucleotide ribosomal RNA is filed under the name uncultured organism. RNAcentral's name for it is "bacterial SSU rRNA". It matches the Rfam family "Bacterial small subunit ribosomal RNA", at positions 367 to 762 of the family's 1533-position model. The record is from RNAcentral.
CGCAAUGGGCGAAAGCCUGACGGAGCGACGCCGCGUGGUUGAUGAAGUCCUUCGGGAUGUAAAAACCUUUUGUAGGGGAGAAAGUUUAUUGAUAGUACUCUACGAAUAAGGGGUUGCUAAACUCGUGCCAGCAGCAGCGGUAAUACGAGUGCCCCAAGCGUUAUCCGGAAUUACUGGGCGUAAAGGGUGUGCAGGCGGUUUUGUUAGUCUUUUGUUAAGGCUCCCGGCUUAACCGGGAAAAUGCAAAGGAAACGGCAAGACUUGAGGGUGCGAGGGGUCUAUGGAACUCAUGGUGUAGGGGUGAAAUCUGUUGAUAUCAUGGGGAACACCAAAAGCGAAGGCAAUAGACUGGAGCAUUCCUGACGCUAAACAUGAAAGCGU